Canis lupus familiaris (dog) is the source of this 2020-nucleotide long non-coding RNA. RefSeq lists it as uncharacterized. NCBI's taxonomy places the organism in Eukaryota, Metazoa, Chordata, Mammalia, Carnivora, Canidae. The record is from RefSeq and is a predicted model, not a curated record. The transcript is spliced from 3 exons.
GGCUGGAGGCGGGAGGCGCUCCGCCCGGGCCCCUGGUUCUAGUGCCGCCAGGGGCCCCAAAGAUGGGGAGGCUUUGGGGAAGGGGGGGCAGUCGCCGUCCUUGAACAGAGGCGGCCAGGAGGGCAUCCGAGGGCCGCCCUCCCCUGCUGCUGAACACCAAGAGGGAACCGAGAGGGAAUCCGGUUCACUGUGCGCCCCGCGGCUCUGGGGCUCCGGCUGUGAUGGGAGCAAAGCCAACCACCCCCUCACGGAGCUUCCGUUCCGUUCCACGCGAGACACGGUCCAUGAAGUCCCCACGAUAGGCAGGCCGGACUUGGCCCUGGGGCUAGGAAGGGGACAGCGACAGCGGGCAGCGCGCUCCCGCCAGGCAGGGCGGCUACCUUGAGUCUGGGCGCCCGGCCGCCUCCCCCGGACCAGCGGACCAGCGGUCUCCAGCAGCAACCCGAACCCCGGAUUUUAUUUAUUCGAGACCCGGAGAGAGAGGCAGAGACACGGGCAGAGGGAGAAGCAGGCUCUAUGCGGGGACCCCUACGCGGGACUCGAUCCCAGGACCCAGGGGGGUCGCACCCUGAGCCGAAGGCCGGCGCUCUACUGCUGAGCCCCCUGGCGCCCCUGCAACCUCAGUUGUUUGUGGAGAGUUGGUCAGACCUGUUGUUUGGUGGUGGAGCCGCCUGGAAGGGGCAGGGCCGUGACCCUCCUCACCUCGGGCUCACCCCGGACAAGGAUCCCUCCUGCAGGAAUGGAGUCUGGAAGCGCGCCCGCAGGCACGCGGCCUACGCAGCAGCUCCUACUCCAAGCCAAAGAGCUGCUGGAGGCCAGACUCUGUCUACACUAGGCUCUCUCUGCCUAGUGGGGAUCAGAGUGCAGAUCAUCUACUUUUCAAUAGGCCUGGGAUUUGGAGCCAGGUGACAGGGCCACAGAACACGACUCCUGGACAGUCCAAGCCCCCGAGGUGUUCCCGGGGAAGUUCCUUGGACGGUGUACCCUCCUCUGAUGCCCGCUCCACGUCCUCAGGUGUACCCUCCUCUGAUGCCCGCUCCACGUCCUCAGGUGUACCCUCCUCUGAUGCCCGCUCCAGGCCAGCCUCUAGAGUCUUCUCCACCACCCUAGCUCUUCCCUGGCUCAGCACCGGGUCUGAUGGCCUAGUUAGGGCGCUCUCCCCCUAACCUGUGCUUUCCAAUGUCAGCAACAGCCACUGGCCACAUGUGCCUACUGCACUCACGGAACCUGGGACGUGGCGUGCAGUAUAAAACAUACACAGGAUUUUGAAUACUCCACGUCAAGCAUGUAAAAUAUCUUUUUGAUAAUUCUUAUACUGAUUACACGCUGAGAUCAUAUUUCGGAUGUGUUGAGUUAAAUAAAACAUUGUUAACAUUAAGUUUACCAUUUUUUAAAAAAAUGUGUGCAUGCCAGAAAAUUUAAAAGGAUGCACAUUUGUGCUGGACAGGGCUGUGCCUCGAUGAAGUCCACAGGGUAAGGGGCCAUGGACAUUUUGUCCACACUUAAUACCCGGCGCCUGGUGGUAUAGGUGAGCAACAAUCAGGGUUAUCGGACGCGUGUUUGACAGUUACACUCUCCAUCAGCCCAGAAGCAUUCGGCACAGCCUGCUACAGGAAUGCGUAAUUUAAAUGUCAGUUUAUUAAAAAACAAAAAAAAAAACAAGCCAAAAAUAGAUAAAUAAAAACAAAGAAGAACACAACCACCAAGCCAAAACAAAAAGUCUCAGGCCUAAAAUUUGCCAGAAAGGGAAAAAAGUGGGAAUGAAGGGGUCAGGGUCUCAGCCUUUCUUCUGAGGGGCUGGGGUGGGGAGUAGAUAUUCAGACCUUUGUCAAUCAGAACAAGGAAUUAACAAAAAGAAACCCCAGGGCUUCCAGGUGGCUCACUGGUUGAGCAUCUGCCUUCAGCUCAGGGUGUGACCCCGGGGUCCUGGGAUCGAGUCCUGCUUGGGGCUUCUAGCUUCCCUGAUGGGAAGCCCAUGGUGGAGGCCUCGGGAGCUCUCCUGCUGGGCAGCAGAGCGGGG